This 654-nucleotide ribosomal RNA is filed under the name uncultured bacterium. RNAcentral describes it as "bacterial SSU rRNA". It matches the Rfam family "Bacterial small subunit ribosomal RNA", at positions 728 to 1374 of the family's 1533-position model. The record is from RNAcentral.
UNUGGGCCGUUACUGACGCUGAGGAGCGAAAGCGUGGGGAGCGAACAGGAUUAGAUACCCUGGUAGUCCACGCUGUAAACGUUGGGCACUAGGUGUGGGGGGCCUUUUCCGGGUUUUCCGCGCCGUAGCUAACGCAUUAAGUGCCCCGCCUGGGGAGUACGGCCGCAAGGCUAAAACUCAAAGGAAUUGACGGGGGCCCGCACAAGCGGCGGAGCAUGCGGAUUAAUUCGAUGCAACGCGAAGAACCUUACCAAGGCUUGACAUGGGCUGGAUUGCUUCGGAGACGGGGUUUCCCUUUUUUGGGCUGGUUCACAGGUGGUGCAUGGUUGUCGUCAGCUCGUGUCGUGAGAUGNNNNNNANAANNNCCGCAACGAGCGCAACCCUUGUCUCGUGUUGCCAGCACGUUGUGGUGGGGACUCGCGGGAGACUGCCGGGGUUAACUCGGAGGAAGGUGGGGAUGACGUCAAAUCAUCAUGCCCCUUAUGUCUUGGGCUUCACGCGUGCUACAAUGGCCGGUACAGUGGGUUGCGAUGCUGUGAGGCGGAGCGAAUCCCUGAAAGCCGGUCUCAGUUCGGAUCGGUGUCUGCAACUCGACACCGUGAAGUUGGAGUCGCUAGUAAUCGCAGAUCAGCAGCGCUGCGGUGAAUACGUUNU